Molecule: long non-coding RNA, 978 nt
Organism: Agrilus planipennis (emerald ash borer)
Lineage: Eukaryota; Metazoa; Arthropoda; Insecta; Coleoptera; Buprestidae
Exons: 2
Source: RefSeq, a predicted model, not a curated record
AAUUGAAUAAGGAACGUUCUUCCAAAUUUUUAUUUGUCUCGUAGCAUUUUGACAUACCUCCCAAACAUCCUUAAGAAGAGAGACUAACUUGAUAAGAAAAUAUCAUACCUAUCCUGAUAAAAAUGUAUCUUUUUGAAGAAAAAUGUUUAAGAAUAAGUUAAUUUUUAGCUCUUUCUCUCAAGUAUCAUUUGUAUUAAAUAAUUAAUUUUCAACAUCAACCGCAACGCAAAAAAAUGACAUAUACUUAGGAAAUUACCGUGUGAAUAUACCGGCAUGGACAUAACACUAGUUAAUACAACGCUUAAUUUUAUUUGUAAGAUGAUACAAGAUAAUUUGUUUUUUAUGAAGAAACACAGUAUAGAUCAUAAUUUCCCAUCAGUUUUACCCUUACGUUACUCAAAUAGCCUGUGUUUUUGUAAUAAAUAGGUUUGAUGAAGAAGUCGUAUAAUUAAUAAUUUAACAGUUACGGUAUUGUAAAUUUUCUGAAUAAAUUCUUUAACAUAUCAUUUCCAGAACCUGUUAAUGACGACUGUACAUAAAAUAUGGAUACUGUAAUAGGUACCAUAAUCCAGAAUUAUGACAGAAAAUUUCUAUGUGUGAAAGACGUAAAUAAGUACCUAUUAACGUGUUAAUGUUUUCAGAUAACAUCUGAUUUUAUCAGUACGCAUAAUAGCUCGGCUUUGAGCUUUGUUGAUAUUCACGGCUAUUAGGUACGUGUACGAGUAGUCAUACGGAUUCUGAAGUACUAGCUUUGUAAUAACUUGGAAAAAUCCAAUUAUAUUAAAAAAAUCAAACUAGGUAUGACACCUGCGUAUAUUACUUUCAUGUAUUUAUAAUGAAAAUACACACAUAUUAUGUUUUGUUUAGAAUUUAAUAAAGUAUUAUUGUUGUAUAUCAUUUGUACACAUGUAUGUAUACACUGCAUUAUACGGAUUACAUUGUACUGCUAGCGAUUAUCUUGCAUGUAAAAAAAGAAAU